Molecule: ribosomal RNA, 494 nt
Filed under: uncultured bacterium
Lineage: Bacteria
Description: partial 16S ribosomal RNA
Rfam family: Bacterial small subunit ribosomal RNA
Source: RNAcentral
GACGAACGCUGGCGGCGUGCUUAACACAUGCAAGUCGAACGGAAAGGCCUGCUUUCCCUUGUGGAUUGCGGGUACUCGAGUGGCGAACGGGUGAGUAACACGUGAGUGAUCUGCCCCCAACUUGGGUAUAAGCCUGGGAAACUGGGUCUAAUUCCCGAUAGGACUGCAGGGUGGUGCCUGUGGUGGAAAACGAUUUUCUAGUGGUUGGGGAUGAGCUCGCGGCCUAUCAGCUUGUUGGUGGGGUAAUGGCCUACCAAGGCGGCGACGGGUAGCCGGCCUGGGAGGGUGGACGGCCACAUUGGGACUGAGAUACGGCCCAGACUCCUACGGGAGGCAGCAGUGGGGGAUAUUGCACAAUGGGCGGAAGCCUGAUGCAGCGACGCCGCGUGGGGGAUGACGGCCUUCGGGUUGUAAACUCCUUUCGACCGCGAGGAAGCCACCUGGUUGGAAGGGUGGUGACGGUAGUGGUAGAAGAAGCACCGGCUAACUACGUG